This 497-nucleotide ribosomal RNA is filed under the name uncultured bacterium. RNAcentral's name for it is "partial 16S ribosomal RNA". It matches the Rfam family "Bacterial small subunit ribosomal RNA", at positions 28 to 507 of the family's 1533-position model. The record is from RNAcentral.
GGUGAACGCUGGCGGCGUGCCUAAUACAUGCAAGUCGAGCGAACAGACGAGGAGCUUGCUCCUCUGACGUUAGCGGCGGACGGGUAAGUAACACGUGGAUAACCUACCUAUAAGACUGGGAUAACUUCGGGAAACCGGAGCUAAUACCGGAUAAUAUAUUGAACCGCAUGGUUCAAUAGUGAAAGACGGUUUUGCUGUCACUUAUAGAUGGAUCCGCGCCGCAUUAGCUAGUUGGUAAGGUAACGGCUUACCAAGGCAACGAUGCGUAGCCGACCUGAGAGGGUGAUCGGCCACACUGGAACUGAGACACGGUCCAGACUCCUACGGGAGGCAGCAGUAGGGAAUCUUCCGCAAUGGGCGAAAGCUUGACGGAGCAACGCCGCGUGAGUGAUGAAGGUCUUCGGAUCGUAAAACUCUGUUAUUAGGGAAGAACAAAUGUGUAAGUAACUAUGCACGUCUUGACGGUACCUAAUCAGAAAGCCACGGCUAACUACGUG